RNAcentral lists this ribosomal RNA (527 nucleotides) under Oedalechilus labiosus (hornlip mullet). RNAcentral's name for it is "partial 12S rRNA". It matches the Rfam family "Bacterial small subunit ribosomal RNA", at positions 71 to 991 of the family's 1533-position model. Lineage: Eukaryota; Metazoa; Chordata; Actinopteri; Mugiliformes; Mugilidae. The record is from RNAcentral.
AGUUCCCCUUCCCGGGAACAAGGAGCUGGUAUCAGGCACAUUUUAAUUAUCGCCCACGACACCUUGCUCAGCCACACCCCCAAGGGAAUUCAGCAGUGAUAAACAUUAAGCUAUAAGUGAAAACUUGACUUAGUUACAGCUAUAAGGGCCGGUAAAACUCGUGCCAGCCACCGCGGUUAUACGAGAGGCCCAAGUUGAUAGACAUCGGCGUAAAGAGUGGUUAAGUAAUCCCCCCCACUAAAGCCGAACGCCUCCAAGACUGUAAUACGUGUUCGGAGGUAUGAAGCCCAACUACGAAAGUGGCUUUAAAAAAACUGACCCCACGAAAGCUGAGAAACAAACUGGGAUUAGAUACCCCACUAUGCUCAGCCCUAAACUUUGAUAGUUCAAUUACACUCGCUAUCCGCCCGGGUACUACGAGCUCCGGCUUAAAACCCAAAGGACUUGGCGGUGCUUAAGAUCCACCUAGAGGAGCCUGUUCUAGAACCGAUACUCCCCGUUAAACCUCACCCUUUCUUGUCCUUACC